ACUGCUCAGUAACACGUGGACAACCUGCCCUUAGGUUGGGUAUAAACCCGGGAAACUGGGUAUAAUACCCGAUAGGUCUCGAUUGCUGGAAUGCAUCGAGAUUUAAAGCUCCGGCGCCUAAGGAUGGGUCUGCGGCCUAUCAGGUAGUAGUGGGUGUAGCGUACCUACUAGCCUACGACGGGUACGGGUUGUGAGAGCAAGAGCCCGGAGAUGGAUUCUGAGACACGAAUCCAGGCCCUACGGGGUGCAGCAGGCGCGAAAACUUUACAAUGCUGGCAACAGCGAUAAGGGAACCUCGAGUGCCAGGUUACAAAUCUGGCUGUCGAGAUGCCUAAAAAGCAUUUCAUAGCAAGGGCCGGGCAAGACCGGUGCCAGCCGCCGCGGUAACACCGGCGGCUCGAGUGGUAACCGUUAUUAUUGGGUCUAAAGGGUCUGUAGCCGGCCGGAUAAGUCUCUUGAGAAAUCUGGCAGCUUAACUGUCAGGCUUUCAGGAGAUACUGUCUGGCUCGAGGCCGGGAGAGGUGAGAGGUACUUCAGGGGUAGGGGUGAAAUCUUGUAAUCCUUGAAGGACCACCAGUGGCGAAGGCGUCUCACCAGAACGGACCUGACGGCAAGGGACGAAAGCUAGGGGCACGAACCGGAUUAGAUACCCGGGUAGUCCUAGCCGUAAACGAUACUCGCUAGGUGUCGGCCACGGUGCGACCGUUGUCGGUGCCGUAGGAAGCCGUGAAGCGAGCCACCUGGAAGUACGGCCGCAAGGCUGAAACUUAAAGGAAUUGGCGGGGGAG
RNAcentral lists this ribosomal RNA (788 nucleotides) under uncultured archaeon. Its description in RNAcentral is "bacterial SSU rRNA". It matches the Rfam family "Archaeal small subunit ribosomal RNA", at positions 85 to 876 of the family's 1478-position model. The record is from RNAcentral.